Small nucleolar RNA from Peromyscus leucopus (white-footed mouse), 95 nucleotides. RefSeq annotates it as small nucleolar RNA SNORD116. NCBI's taxonomy places the organism in Eukaryota, Metazoa, Chordata, Mammalia, Rodentia, Cricetidae. The transcript has a single exon. The record is from RefSeq and is a predicted model, not a curated record.
GGAUAGAUGAUGAUUUCCAGUCAAACAUUCCUUGGAAAAGCUGAACAAAAUGAGUGAAAACUCAGUACCGCCGCUCUCAUCGAAAACUGAGGUCC